GUCAGCGUGGCAUAGUGGUUUUAGUGUUUGACUAUGACUCUGGAGACCAGGGUUCAAUUUCCAACUGGGCCA
This is a non-coding RNA of Phrynosoma platyrhinos (Desert horned lizard), 72 nucleotides long. The record is from the annotation of a GenBank genome assembly. NCBI's taxonomy places the organism in Eukaryota, Metazoa, Chordata, Lepidosauria, Squamata, Phrynosomatidae.